UACGAAGGUCCCAAGCGUUGUUCGGAUUUACUGGGCGUAAAGCGCGCGUAGGUGGUCUGUUAAGUCGGAUGUGAAAGCCCCGGGCUCAACCCAGGAACUGCAUUUAAAACUAGUGAUCUAGAAUUUGGUAGGGGUUAGUAGAAUUUCCAGUGUAGAGGUGAAAUUCGUAGAUAUUGGAAAGAAUACCAGUGGCGAAGGCGACUAACUGGGCCAUUUUUGACGCUGAGAUACGAAAGCGUGGGUAGCAAACAGG
This 253-nucleotide ribosomal RNA is filed under the name uncultured bacterium. RNAcentral's name for it is "partial 16S ribosomal RNA". It matches the Rfam family "Bacterial small subunit ribosomal RNA", at positions 524 to 776 of the family's 1533-position model. The record is from RNAcentral.